GCAAUGUCCAAAACCGACAUAUGAGCCAUUCCCUAUUUAUGCACAUAACUUCAAACCCAUUCCCUCCACUCUUCAAGGGUGCCGGUUUCUAUUGUUCGUUUGUGAUGCGAUCAGUCAGGAUCGAUGGGAUUUGUUCCUAAUAUAACAUUUGAUAGAUACUGUAGCUAAUUUGUUCAGCAGAAUGCGUCUUAGUCGAACCCUUUGUGUGGCUUCGACCUGUUCUUUCUCAUUACACCUGCAACUGGUGCUAGUUUUUUCGUUGUCUACUUAAUUGGGUUUAUGAUCUUUAGAAUAACAAUAGUUGUUUUUAAUUCACGUGUAUUUGCUAUUAAGUACCUGCGGGUUCUUCUUAAUCAGGAUUAGUAGU
Long non-coding RNA from Erigeron canadensis, 367 nucleotides. RefSeq lists it as uncharacterized. NCBI's taxonomy places the organism in Eukaryota, Viridiplantae, Streptophyta, Magnoliopsida, Asterales, Asteraceae. The transcript has 3 exons. The record is from RefSeq and is a predicted model, not a curated record.